UAAGGAAUAUUGGUCAAUGGACGAAAGUCUGAACCAGCCAUGCCGCGUGAAGGAUGACGGCCCUAUGGGUUGUAAACUUCUUUUGUACGGGAAUAAACCCAGGUACGUGUACCUGGCUGAAUGUACCGUAAGAAUAAGGAUCGGCUAACUCCGUGCCAGCAGCCGCGGUAAUACGGAGGAUCCAAGCGUUAUCCGGAUUCAUUGGGUUUAAAGGGUGCGUAGGCGGAUUUGUAAGUCAGUGGUGAAAGCCUACAGCUUAACUGUAGAACUGCCAUUGAUACUGCAAGUCUUGAGUACACUUGACGUGGGCGGAAUGUGUCAUGUAGCGGUGAAAUGCUUAGAUAUGACACAGAACACCGAUUGCGAAGGCAGCUCACGAAAUUGUAACUGACGCUGAGGC
Molecule: ribosomal RNA, 400 nt
Filed under: uncultured bacterium
Lineage: Bacteria
Description: bacterial SSU rRNA
Rfam family: Bacterial small subunit ribosomal RNA
Source: RNAcentral